This 74-nucleotide transfer RNA is filed under the name Cytophagaceae bacterium. Its description in RNAcentral is "tRNA-Pro". It matches the Rfam family "tRNA". Rfam says of the family: Transfer RNA (tRNA) molecules are approximately 80 nucleotides in length. Their secondary structure includes four short double-helical elements and three loops (D, anti-codon, and T loops). Lineage: Bacteria; Pseudomonadati; Bacteroidota; Cytophagia; Cytophagales; Cytophagaceae. The record is from RNAcentral.
CGGGAUGUGGCGCAGUCCGGUAGCGUACUUGCCUGGGGGGCAAGGGGUCGUGGGUUCAAAUCCCGCCAUCCCGA